This 440-nucleotide ribosomal RNA is filed under the name uncultured bacterium. Its description in RNAcentral is "partial 16S ribosomal RNA". It matches the Rfam family "Bacterial small subunit ribosomal RNA", at positions 338 to 795 of the family's 1533-position model. The record is from RNAcentral.
CCUACGGUGGGCAGCAGUGGGGAAUAUUGGGCAAUGGGCGCAAGCCUGACCCAGCAACGCCGCGUGAAGGAAGAAGUAUUUCGGUAUGUAAACUUCUAUCAGCAGGGAAGAAAAUGACGGUACCUGACUAAGAAGCCCCGGCUAACUACGUGCCAGCAGCCGCGGUCAUACGUAGGGGGCAAGCGUUAUCCGGAUUUACUGGGUGUAAAGGGAGCGUAGGCGGCGAUGCAAGUCAGAAGUGAAAGCCCGGGGCUCAACUCCGGGACUGCUUUUGAAACUGUAUGGCUAGAUUGCAGGAGAGGCAAGUGGAAUUCCUAGUGUAGCGGUGAAAUGCGUAGAUAUUAGGAGGAACACCAGUGGCGAAGGCGGCUUGCUGGACUGUAAAUGACGCUGAGGCUCGAAGGCGUGGGGAGCAAACAGGAUUAGAUACCCGUGUAGUC